Molecule: ribosomal RNA, 289 nt
Filed under: uncultured bacterium
Lineage: Bacteria
Description: partial 16S ribosomal RNA
Rfam family: Bacterial small subunit ribosomal RNA
Source: RNAcentral
GUGGAUUAGAUACCCUAGUAGUCCAUGCCGUAAACGUUGGGAACUAGAUGUAGGGACCAUUCCACGGUUUCUGUGUCGCAGCUAACGCAUUAAGUUCCCCGCCUGGGGAGUACGGCCGCAAGGCUAAAACUCAAAGGAAUUGACGGGGGCCCGCACAAGCGGCGGAGCAUGCGGAUUAAUUCGAUGCAACGCGAAGAACCUUACCAAGGCUUGACAUAUACGAGAACGGGCCAGAAAUGGUCAACUCUUUGGACACUCGUAAACAGGUGGUGCAUGGUUGUCGUCAACU